Molecule: ribosomal RNA, 203 nt
Filed under: uncultured bacterium
Lineage: Bacteria
Description: partial 23S ribosomal RNA
Rfam family: Bacterial large subunit ribosomal RNA
Source: RNAcentral
AGUGGAGAAGCCAACAUGAGAUAGUUAAAUAAUUAGGAGAACGACUUGGGAAAGUCGACCGUAGUGGGUGAGAGUCCCGUAUUUGAAGAUUAUUUAAUAGUACUAGGCAUGUUAAUAAGUAGGGCGAGACACGAGAAAUCUUGUCUGAAUAUGGGGGGACCAUCCUCCAAGGCUAAAUAUUCAUCAUCGACCGAUAGUGGAUU